RNAcentral lists this ribosomal RNA (301 nucleotides) under uncultured bacterium. RNAcentral's name for it is "partial 16S ribosomal RNA". It matches the Rfam family "Bacterial small subunit ribosomal RNA", at positions 509 to 807 of the family's 1533-position model. The record is from RNAcentral.
CAGCAGCCGCGGGAAUACGUAGGGUGCAAGCGUUAAUCGGAAUUACUGGGCGUAAAGCGUGCGCAGGCGGUUAUAUAAGUCGGAUGUGAAAUCCCCGGGCUCAACCUGGGAACUGCAUUUGAGACUGUAUGGCUAGAGUGUGUCAGAGGGGGGUAGAAUUCCACGUGUAGCAGUGAAAUGCGUAGAUAUGUGGAGGAAUACCGAUGGCGAAGGCAGCCCCCUGGGAUAACACUGACGCUCAUGCGCGAAAGCGUGGGGAGCAAACAGGAUUAGAUACCCCUGUAGUCCCUGUCUCUUAUAC